This 468-nucleotide ribosomal RNA is filed under the name uncultured bacterium. RNAcentral's name for it is "partial 16S ribosomal RNA". It matches the Rfam family "Bacterial small subunit ribosomal RNA", at positions 28 to 507 of the family's 1533-position model. The record is from RNAcentral.
GACGAACGCUGGCGGCGUGCUUAACACAUGCAAGUCGAACGGAAAGGCCCUGCUUUUGUUGGGUGCUCGAGUGGCGAACGGGUGAGUAACCCGUGAGUAACCUGCCCUUGACUUUGGGAUAACUUCAGGAAACUGGGGCUAAUACCGGAUAGGAGCUCCUGCUGCAUGGUGGGGGUUGGAAAGUUUCGGCGGUUGGGGAUGGACUCGCGGCUUAUCAGCUUGUUGGUGGGGUAGUGGCUUACCAAGGCUUUGACGGGUAGCCGGCCUGAGAGGGUGACCGGCCACAUUGGGACUGAGAGACGGCCCAGACUCCUACGGGAGGCAGCAGGGGGGAAUAUUGCACAAUGGGCGGAAGCCUGAUGCAGCAACGCCGCGUGCGGGAUGACGGCCUUCGGGUUGUAAACCGCUUUCGCCUGUGACGAAGCGGGAGUGACGGUAAUGGGUAAAGAAGCACCGGCUAACUACGUG